GAUGAACGCUAGCUACAGGCUUAACACAUGCAAGUCGUGGGGCAUCAUGAUGUAGUAAUACAUUGAUGGCGACCGGCGCACGGGUGAGUAACGCGUAUCCAACCUACCCUCCACUCAAGUAUAGGCUUCCGAAAGGGAGAUUAAUCCUUGAUAUCGUCAUUCUCUCUCCUGUUAGAAUGAUAAAAGGACAUCGUUUCGGUAGAGGAUGGGGAUGCGUUCCAUUAGGUAGUAGGUGGUUUAACAGGCCACCUAGCCGAUGAUGGAUAGGGGUUCUGAGAGGAAUAUCCCCCACACUGGUACUGAGAUACGGACCAGACUCCUACGGGAGGCAGCAGUGAGGAAUAUUGGUCAAUGGGCGCAAGCCUGAACCAGCCAUGUAGCGUGAA
This 386-nucleotide ribosomal RNA is filed under the name Bacteroidetes bacterium oral taxon 272. Its description in RNAcentral is "bacterial SSU rRNA". It matches the Rfam family "Bacterial small subunit ribosomal RNA", at positions 28 to 405 of the family's 1533-position model. Lineage: Bacteria; Pseudomonadati; Bacteroidota. The record is from RNAcentral.